This 497-nucleotide ribosomal RNA is filed under the name uncultured bacterium. RNAcentral describes it as "partial 16S ribosomal RNA". It matches the Rfam family "Bacterial small subunit ribosomal RNA", at positions 28 to 507 of the family's 1533-position model. The record is from RNAcentral.
GAUGAACGCUGGCGGCGUGCCUAAUACAUGCCAGUCGAGCGAACGGACGAGAAGCUUGCUUCUCUGAUGUUAGCGGCGGACGGGUGAGUAACACGUGGAUAACCUACCUAUAAGACUGGGAUAACUUCGGGAAACCGUAGCUAAUACCGGAUAAUAUUUUGAACCGCAUGGUUCAAUAGUGAAAGACGGUUUUGCUGUCACUUAUAGAUGGAUCCGCGCUGCAUUAGCUAGUUGGUAAGGUAACGGCUUACCAAGGCAACGAUGCAUAGCCGACCUGAGAGGGUGAUCGGCCACACUGGAACUGAGACACGGUCCAGACUCCUACGGGAGGCAGCAGUAGGGAAUCUUCCGCAAUGGGCGAAAGCCUGACGGAGCAACGCCGCGUGAGUGAUGAAGGUCUUCGGAUCGUAAAACUCUGUUAUUAGGGAAGAACAAAUGUGUAAGUAACUGUGCACAUCUUGACGGUACCUAAUCAGAAAGCCACGGCUAACUACGUG